GCUACAUAAACUCUGGGCUGGGUUAGAAGGGGAGAGCUUGCAAAGGCAGCAGGCAAGAGAUUUCAGGUUUUGCAAGCUUAUUUUAGAUAUAUCGCCAAUGUAAAAAUACAUAAUUCAAUGCAUGCAAGUUUUCAUUUGGGGUAUGUGUACUAAACAGGGAUUUUUAUUUAUUUUGUAUUUUAAAGUGGUUAAACUUGCUGAUGGAUAGUGGCCUCUAAAUUCACUGCUGGACAGGUAACUGCUAGCAAGAUUCUAUCAGAUUUAAAUACGAAGUCCUUGUACAGUUUUCAAAUGUAAGGAGACAACCACGUCAUUGUAGACUUUGGUGUUCAAAAGAGUUGCCCCCUUUCCACAAAUUAUUUUUGACUUAGUAACUGACCCUCUACUGCAAGCAUUGUAAUGUUAUUUUAUAGCUUUCCAGUGGGCUCUGUCACAGCAAAAAUAUCACUGUUUGCAGGAGAGGAUCAGCUGUUUGUAAAUGAUCCUGUGUUUUACAUCCUACCACAUGUAUUUCAUCUACUUACAGCCUUUGGCGAUGUUGCAGGUUUUGCACUUGGCUGGAGGAAAUCCACGGCUUUGUACAUAAAGGCGCACUCCAAGUACAAAACAACUGUAGCUUAAUGAAGCAGUUUUGGUGUAUAUAUCAUGCCCCUACAAUCCCACUGCUCAAUUAUCUGCUAUUUAGGAAUUAAAUCACAUGUAUUUCUGUUUAUGCAGUCCUAGCCACAUCUCUCCCCUGCCUGUGACUGACACAGCCAACAAUGAUUUAAUUUUCAAUCGGAUUUUAGGGCAAAGUUUUUUUACUUUAGACAUUUUUACCUCCUGCUCUGUUAAUUGGCACAUAAUUGGACAGUGACACUGCAGGAGCAUGAUCUGUACACCAAAACCAAAUAAUGUAAACUUGUUUGAGGAGGGUCCUCAGCUCUGUACCAGCUAUUGUAUAGUGCUGCGAAAUUUGUUGGCACAUAAAUAAUAAUAAUUAGGCUAGAGUUGUUUUGAUGUGUGAAGUG
This is a non-coding RNA of Pelobates cultripes (western spadefoot toad), 1010 nucleotides long. Lineage: Eukaryota; Metazoa; Chordata; Amphibia; Anura; Pelobatidae. The record is from the annotation of a GenBank genome assembly.